This 253-nucleotide ribosomal RNA is filed under the name uncultured bacterium. RNAcentral's name for it is "partial 16S ribosomal RNA". It matches the Rfam family "Bacterial small subunit ribosomal RNA", at positions 524 to 776 of the family's 1533-position model. The record is from RNAcentral.
UACGUAGGGCGCAAGCGUUGUCCGGAAUUAUUGGGCGUAAAGAGCUCGUAGGCGGUCUGUCGCGUCUGCUGUGAAAACUCAGGGCUUAACCCUGAGCUUGCAGUGGGUACGGGCAGACUAGAGGUAGGUAGGGGAGAAUGGAAUUCCCGGUGUAGCGGUGAAAUGCGCAGAUAUCGGGAGGAACACCGGUGGCGAAGGCGGUUCUCUGGGCCUUACCUGACGCUGAGGAGCGAAAGCGUGGGGAGCGAACAGG